This 283-nucleotide ribosomal RNA is filed under the name uncultured bacterium. RNAcentral's name for it is "partial 16S ribosomal RNA". It matches the Rfam family "Bacterial small subunit ribosomal RNA", at positions 334 to 613 of the family's 1533-position model. The record is from RNAcentral.
UAUACCUACGGGAGGCAGCAGUGAGGAAUAUUGGUCAAUGGGAGAGAUCCUGAACCAGCCAAGUCGCGUGAGGGAAGACUGCCCUAUGGGUUGUAAACCUCUUUUGUCAGGGAGCAAUUGGCGCUACGUGUAGCGUUAUCGAGAGUACCUGAAGAAAAAGCAUCGGCUAACUCCGUGCCAGCAGCCGCGGUAAUACGGAGGAUGCGUGCGUUAUCCGGAUUUAUUGGGUUUAAAGGGUGCGUAGGCGGAAUGCCAAGUCAGCGGUAAAAUCGCGCGGCUCAAC